RNAcentral lists this unclassified non-coding RNA (256 nucleotides) under uncultured fungus. RNAcentral's name for it is "partial contains 5.8S ribosomal RNA, internal transcribed spacer 2, and large subunit ribosomal RNA". The record is from RNAcentral. Lineage: Eukaryota; Fungi.
AACGCACAUUGCGCCCUUUGGCAUUCCGAAGGGCAUGCCUGUUCGAGCGUCAUUAUCAACCCUCAAGCCUGGCUUGGUGUUGGAUUAGACCCCCCUCGCCGGGGGUCGAUCCCAAAGAUAAUGGCGGGUCGACGUGAGACCUCGGUACAAUGAGCUCGUUAAACAGCAUGUAUCGUCAGGGAUCACUCGGCCUGGCCUAACCCCAAAAUUCUACAAGGUUGACCUCGGAUCAGGUAGGAAUACCCGCUGAACUUAA